This 63-nucleotide transfer RNA is filed under the name Evacanthus heimianus. RNAcentral's name for it is "tRNA-Arg". The record is from RNAcentral. RNAcentral also lists the same sequence under 3 other names. Lineage: Eukaryota; Metazoa; Arthropoda; Insecta; Hemiptera; Cicadellidae.
AACAAAGAAGUAAAAAAUUUACUUUUAGUUUCGACCUAAAUAUAGAGUUUAUACUCCAUGUUU